RNAcentral lists this unclassified non-coding RNA (406 nucleotides) under Hevea brasiliensis (rubber tree). Lineage: Eukaryota; Viridiplantae; Streptophyta; Magnoliopsida; Malpighiales; Euphorbiaceae. The record is from RNAcentral.
UUUGGCUUUAACAUUCUUUGCUGGAGUUUGUUUUUCUCUCUUCUCUCCAGCUUUCAACCUUGCCACAAAUGAUCAGUGGCAUACGCUAAAAGAUGGAGUCCCACACUUGAGCGUCUACACAGCAUUCUUCUACUUCUCAGUUUCUUGCUUUGUCGUUGCCUUGAUUCUUAACCUCAUAUUCUUAUACCGUCCUGUUUUAAAUGCACCCAAGUCAUCCCUAAAGGCUUAUAUUAACGACUGGAACGGUAGAGGUUGGGCACUUUUGGCAGGACUUUUGUGUGGUUUUGGAAACGGUCUACAAUUCAUGGGAGGUCAAGCAGCUGGAUACGCAGCUGCAGAUGCUGUUCAGGCGCUGCCUCUGGUGAGCACAUUUUGGGGGGUAAUUUUGUUCGGAGAGUAUCGAAGA